UGCAAUUUCAGGUACUAAAUUCGGGUAGCUGUGCUGCUAACCGGAUUAUAAAAAAAAUCAAAAUAAAAAAACCGAAAAUUCGGUUUUGACCGAACUCCCAGCCUACCCCCACCAACCCCCCCUGUUGGCUCGUUCCUCCACCUAAUAGUUUGUUGUGGGCUCUUAUCCAUUGGGCUUAUAUAUAGGAGAGGAGGCUACCCCUUAUACGUGCUGUUC
RNAcentral lists this long non-coding RNA (216 nucleotides) under Brachypodium distachyon (stiff brome). RNAcentral describes it as "long non-coding RNA (BDIS_LNC000608)". The record is from RNAcentral. Lineage: Eukaryota; Viridiplantae; Streptophyta; Magnoliopsida; Poales; Poaceae.